GGGCCAAUCAUGAACAUACACGUACAAUCAGGCUCUUUCAGAAACCAAUCAUGAACACCACUGACUCAUGGAACAGGUCUCUAAAAAGCUUAUUUUCGUUUGAGGGAAGCAUCUUAUUUUUUAUCUGUCAUUUGGGUGACACUGUCAACUUGCUUUGCUGAGGCUAAAACCUGUGAUUUGACCAGUUUUGAGAUGGAUAACUUCACCAGCAACACAUGGGCUUCACUUGCUCUUCUGGAGAUGUUCGAUUUCAUCGAUGAUCUGAUCGAUGCUCUGCUCGAUGAUCGGAUGGAUGUUCAGACCGAAGCUCUGACCCAUGCUCUGAUCCAUGCUGGGCUCAAUGUUCAGAGCAAUGUUCGGAUCGAUUUUGGGAAACAUGCUCUGAUCGAUGAUCUGAUCGAUGCUCUGAUCAAUUUUCAGACUGAUGAUCUGAUGCAUACUCUGAUCGAAGCUCUGAUCAUUUUUCGUAUCGAAGCUCCGAUCAGUGUUUGGUUCAAUGCUUGGAUCCCUGCUCCGAUCCAUACUUUUACCCGUCUGCUGAGGGACCCCCUGAUUGAGAGCCUUCCUAUCUUCUAUCAGCAACGCAGAAAUCCUCUUCAGCUCUUCUUCUCCGCCAUGACAACCGAUCCAGGCCAGAAGCAAUGGGUAGACAAGGGCAGAUGCUCGGAGCGACCACAAAAAGACCAAGCUACUACUACUCCUCCUCCGGAUGUGUGGUCUUCAGCCUCCCCUUGGGGCGAGGACUAUAUCAAGGACCAGGGCCAGGACUAUAACAAGGACCAGGGCCAGGACUAUAACAAGGACCAGGGCCAGGACUAUAACAAGGACCAGGAGCAGGACUAUAACAAGGACCAGGACCAGGGCCAAGGUAACGGAUGGAGAAGGACUAUAACAAGGACCAGGGCCAGGACUAUAACAAGGACCAGGGCCAGGACUAUAACAAGGACCAGGGCCAGGACUAUAACAAGGACCAAGGCCAGGACUAUAACAAGGACCAAGGCCAGGACUAUAACAAGGACCAAGGCCAGGACUAUAACAAGGACCAGGAUAAGGGCCAAGGUAACGGAUGGAGAAGGACUAUAACAAGGACCAGGGCCAGGACUAUAACAAGGACCAGGGCCAGGACUAUAACAAGGACCAGGGCCAGGACUAUAGCAAGGACCAGGGCCAGGACUAUAACAAGGACCAGGAGCAGGACUAUAACAAGGACCAGGACCAGGGCCAAGACCCACCCCCAGAGCCUGACGCGGGGCAACGUGUGUCCUUCUGUCUCCUUGAUGAUCAACCCCAGGUGUCCAUAUGUGGAGGCAAGGGAUCCUCGACUGCUUCACCACCUGGAAGACCGUGCUGGCCAACCUGUCACUGCUCGUCACAGAAUUUAGGUCUGCAUUUCAAAAGGAAACGUCCUUCUUUGCCACAUAUCCAAUCAGAGCUCAGAUGCUACCUACUGCAGCACAAUCCAAUGCACAUGCAGUCUUUGGAACCUGGCAGCUGACCUCAACUAAGCAGCUCUACCCCAAAAGCCAGACAUUCCUCACUGUCCCCCACACCACUUCCUAGAGAAAUAGGUUCCAUAGAUCUGUCCAUUCUGAGUCAACCUUGCUGCAAUUGGACCCUACUGCAUGCAACUCACUGCUAGUCCAGUUCCCUCCCUCUGCAAAUGAUCCAGAACGUAGCAAUAUCUGGUGUUACAACCUUUCCAUGUCCUCCUAUGUCAUACCACUCCUCCACUGGUUUCCUGAGGAUGCUUACAUCAAAUGUAAUACUCUGUUGCUUGAUUCAGUGCAGUGAAGGGCACUCCUCUUCCUUUUUUCAACAGUGAACAUCUAAAUAGAGGAUGAUAAGUGUGUGUGUUUGUUUUUCCAUGCCGCUGCUGCCUUCACCCCUAUUACAGCGCUUCUUUACAUGUUGCCUUGUAUGUGUUUGUGACUGAACUGAUUAACAUGUUACAAAUAUGAACUAUACACCCUUUGACACAAUCCCUGUCUCCAUGAUGGAUAACGUCCUGGAACUAUGAAGUGCUCCUGAAAGCGAAUUAUUAUAUUUUCAUGGGUUAUUUGUCGUUUUUCUCUUAUUACCGGUGUUUUUGUAAAAAGAGGGCGACCAAAUUACCACCUCAUCGACAGGGGGAUUGUGCGAUAGAUCUCCAGGUUAACGCUGCGCUUCCCAAGAGUCACGUGUACCCCUUGUCACAGGAGGAGACGGUGGCUAUGGAGACAUAUGUCAUGGAAUCUCUGGGACAGGUGUACAUUCAGCCCUCCAUCUCACCCGCCUCCUCGCGUUUCUUUUUUGUGAAGAAAAAGGAGGGAGGUCUGCAUCCGUGCAUUGAUUACAGAGGUCUAAAUGGUAUCACGGUGGGGUUUAGUUACCCGCUACCUCUCAACGCUACAGCGGUGGAAUCAUUUCACUGAGCAAAGUUCUUCACAAAACUGGAUCUCAGGAGCGCGUAUAACCUGGUCGCGUAUUAAGGAUGGAGAUGAGUGGAAAACCGCAUUUAGUACCACAGCGGGCCAUUAUGAGUACCUCGUCAUGCCGUAUGGGUUGAAGAAUGGUCCAGCCGUCUUUUAAUCCUUUGUAGACGAGAUUCUCAGGGACCUGCAUGGGCAGGGCGUGAUUGUCUAUAUCGAUGAUAUUCUGAUAUAUUCCGCCACCCGUGCCGCGCAUGUGUCCCUGGUACGCAAGGUGCUUGGGAGACUGCUGGAGCAUGACCUAUACGUUAAGGCUGAGAAAUGUGUGUUUUCCAAACGAGCCGUUUCCUUCCUGGGUUAUCGCAUUUCCACCACGGGGGUGUGGAUGGAGUGUGACCGCGUUAAGGCCGUGCGUAAUUGGCUGACUCCAACCACGGUGAAGGAGGUGCAGAGGUUCUUAGGGUUUGCCAAUUACUACCGAAGGUUUAUCCGGGGUUUUGGCCAGGUAGCGGCUUCCAUUACCUCACUGCUGAACGGGGGGCCGGUGCGUUUGCGGUGGUCGACUGAGGCGGACGGAGCCUUCAAGAGGUUGAAGGUGCUGUUCACCGAAGCACCCGUGUUGGCGCACCCGGACCCGUCUCUAGCAUUCGUAGUGGAGGUGGGGUGGCUGGGGUGGGUGCCGUGCUAUCACAGCGCUUGGGUAUGCCACUGAAACUCCGCUCCCUGCGCUUUCUUUUCGAAGAAGCUCAGUUCGGCGGAGCGUAACUAUGAUGUGGGGGACAGGGAGUUGUUAGCGGUGGUAAAAGCCUUGAGGGUGUGGCGACACUGGCUUGAGGGGGCUAAGCACCCCUUUCUCAUCUGGACCGACCAUCGGAAUCUGUAGUAUAUCCGGGCAGCUAGGAGACUGAAUCCGCGUCAGGCAAGGUGGGCCAUGUUCUUCGCCCGGUUUAGGUUCACGAUUUCCUAUAGACCAGGCUGCCUGAACACGAGGGCCGACGCGCUGUCCCGUCUUUAUGACACUGAGGACCGGCCCAUCGAUCCGACUCCCAUCAUUCCAGCGUCUAGGCUGGUGGCACCGGUGGUAUGGGAGGUGGACGCGGACAUCGAGCAUUAGUAUUGGAACCUGCGCCUUCACAGUGUCCCGUGGGUCGCAUGUACGUGUCGCUCGGUGUCCGUGAUGAAUUGAUUCGGUGGGCGCACACUCUACCCUCUUCGGGUCAUCCUGGUGUGGCGAGGACAGUGCGGAGUCUCAGGGGGAAGUACUGGUGGCCCACCUUGGCUAGGGACGUGAGGUUCUAUGUCUCUUCCUGUUCGGUGUGCGCCCAGAGUAAGGCUCCUAGGCAUCUCCCGAGAGAGAAGUUACAGCCCCUCCACGUUCCACAACGGCCAUGGUCGCACCUGCCUGUCUGCAGAAGAGAAGUGCUGACUGCCACCGCAGUGAGGCACCCGUGUUCAUACCGGGGGACAGGGCCUGGCUCUCGACCCGGAACCUGCCCCUCCGCGUGCCCUGCCGGAAGCUGGGGCCGCAGUGUGUGGGGCCCUUCAAAGUCCUGAGGAGGAUAAACGAGGUGUGUUAUCGGUUACAACUCCCUUCCUAUUACCGUAUUAACCCCUCAUUUCAUGUGUCUCUCCUCAGGCCGGUGGUAGCUGGUCCCCUACAGGAAGAUGAGGUGCCGGAGGUCCCUCCGUCCCCUCUGGACAUCGGGGAGGUCCCCGGCGUACAGCAUACGGGCCAUUCUGGACUCGAGACGCCGGGUGAGGGGCCUGCAGUACCUCGUGGACUGGGAGGAGUACGGUCCGGAGGAGAGGUGCUGGGUGCCGGCGGAGGACGUCUUGGACCCAUCCAUGUUGAAGGAAUUCCAUGGCCUCCGUCCGGAUCGCCCUGCGCCUCGCCCUCCGGGUCGUCCUCGAGGCCGGUGUCGGCACGCUGCAGGAGCCGCGUGUCGGGGGGAGGGGAACUGUCACGACUCCCACCGAAGGUGGCGCCCCCUCCUGCUCGGGUGGCGCUCGGCGGUCGUCGUCACCGGCCUACUAGCUGCCACUGAUUCCUUUUUUGUUUUCCCACUUUCUGUUACUGUUUGCACCCGUCCUUAGUUGGGUUGAUUAGCGGGGCUAUAAUAGCUAGCUGGCCCGCCUGCUCUUUGUGCGGGAUUGUUUCUCUGUUGUUUGCUUGUGUACAUGCUGAUUGUGUUUUUGCGCUAGUGCGUGGUUUUUGCGCCGUCUGUGUUUUCCCCUGUGUUUGGGGCACUUUGUUUUGUGUGCGCUCUCAUCGCUGUUUGGGGUGGCUUGUGUUUUCGCCAUUCGGCCCAUUAAAAGUCACUACCCUGUA
RNAcentral lists this long non-coding RNA (4737 nucleotides) under Salmo salar (Atlantic salmon). RNAcentral describes it as "lncRNA (ENSSSAG00000103944.1)". The record is from RNAcentral. Lineage: Eukaryota; Metazoa; Chordata; Actinopteri; Salmoniformes; Salmonidae.